This 497-nucleotide ribosomal RNA is filed under the name uncultured bacterium. RNAcentral describes it as "partial 16S ribosomal RNA". It matches the Rfam family "Bacterial small subunit ribosomal RNA", at positions 28 to 507 of the family's 1533-position model. The record is from RNAcentral.
GACGAACGCUGGCGGCGUGCCUAAUACAUGCAAGUUGAGCGCUGAAGGUUGGUACUUGUACCAACUGGAUGAGCAGCGAACGGGUGAGUAACGCGUGGGGAAUCUGCCUUUGAGCGGGGGACAACAUUUGGAAACGAAUGCUAAUACCGCAUAAAAACUUUAAACACAAGUUUUAAGUUUGAAAGAUGCAAUUGCAUCACUCAAAGAUGAUCCCGCGUUGUAUUAGCUAGUUGGUGAGGUAAAGGCUCACCAAGGCGAUGAUACAUAGCCGACCUGAGAGGGUGAUCGGCCACAUUGGGACUGAGACACGGCCCAAACUCCUACGGGGGGCAGCAGUAGGGAAUCUUCGGCAAUGGACGAAAGUCUGACCGAGCAACGCCGCGUGAGUGAAGAAGGUUUUCGGAUCGUAAAACUCUGUUGGUAGAGAAGAACGUUGGUGAGAGUGGAAAGCUCAUCAAGUGACGGUAACUACCCAGAGAGGGACGGCUAACUACGUG